This is a long non-coding RNA of Sinocyclocheilus rhinocerous, 98 nucleotides long. RefSeq lists it as uncharacterized. NCBI's taxonomy places the organism in Eukaryota, Metazoa, Chordata, Actinopteri, Cypriniformes, Cyprinidae. The transcript is spliced from 3 exons. The record is from RefSeq and is a predicted model, not a curated record.
UAUUUUUCUCAUCUUUCUCUGUACAGCACUUUGGUUCUAGUCGUGGUGUUGAAAGUGCUUUAUGAAUAAAGUUUGAGUUGAGUCGUGUUGUGCUGCUU